UACGGAGGGUGCAAGCGUUAUCCGGAUUCACUGGGUUUAAAGGGUGCGUAGGUGGGUUUGUAAGUCAGUGGUGAAAUCUCCAAGCUUAACUUGGAAACUGCCGUUGAUACUAUAAAUCUUAAAUGUUGUGGAGGUGAGCGGAAUAUGUCAUGUAGCGGUGAAAUGCUUAGAUAUGACAUAGAACACCAAUUGCGAAGGCAGCUCACUACACAAAGAUUGACACUGAGGCACGAAAGCGUGGGGAUCAAACAGG
RNAcentral lists this ribosomal RNA (253 nucleotides) under uncultured bacterium. Its description in RNAcentral is "partial 16S ribosomal RNA". It matches the Rfam family "Bacterial small subunit ribosomal RNA", at positions 524 to 776 of the family's 1533-position model. The record is from RNAcentral.